GCAAGUCGAGGGGUAGGGGAAGCUUGCUUCCCUGAGACCGGCGCACGGGUGCCUUACGCGUAUGCAACCUACCCUUUUCUGGGGGAUAGCCCGGAGAAAUCCGGAUUAAUACCGCAUAAGACCACGACACGGCAUCGUGACGGGGUCAAACAUUUAUGGGAGAAGGAUGGGCAUGCGUGCCAUUAGCUAGUUGGCGGGGUAACGGCCCACCAAGGCGACGAUGGCUAGGGGAUCUGAGAGGAUGGCCCCCCACACUGGUACUGAGACACGGACCAGACUCCUACGGGAGGCAGCAGUAAGGAAUAUUGGUCAAUGGGCGCAAGCCUGAACCAGCCAUGCCGCGUGCAGGAAGACGGCCCUCCGGGUUGUAAACUGCUUUUGUACGGGAAUAAACCUCGCUACGUGUAGCGAGCUGAAUGUACCGUAAGAAUAAGGAUCG
This 439-nucleotide ribosomal RNA is filed under the name Pedobacter zeaxanthinifaciens. RNAcentral describes it as "bacterial SSU rRNA". It matches the Rfam family "Bacterial small subunit ribosomal RNA", at positions 57 to 495 of the family's 1533-position model. Lineage: Bacteria; Pseudomonadati; Bacteroidota; Sphingobacteriia; Sphingobacteriales; Sphingobacteriaceae. The record is from RNAcentral.